AUGUUACUAGCUCUUUCAUCGACAAUUUUUAGGUUACAAUUCAUCCCAUCCCACCUAAUUAACCUUCGGUCCACCACAUAUUAGGAUACAUGAGGUAUAUGUUUAUAUAUUGCACAUAUGGUGGUUUGGUCCUAAGGCAAUCAGGGCCCUUUAUGAGAAAAAUGAACUAUUCCAUCCGUUUCAGGAUAUUUGUCUUUCUAGUUAAUCUCAUACAAAACAAGAAGCACUAAAAAGAUAUAAAAUAUUCCCAAAUUAAAUACACUACAAUCUUUGAUGCCUUACCCUCAUUGCCGGGUGCAUUUGGGUAGAGGGUGUGAUUUUUUUUUUUUUGACUAGGAUAUGAUUGGUUGUUGUGGCUGCAUUGGAUUUGGGGAGUGAAUGGUACUUUUUUUUUGAGGAAAAGAGUGAAUGGUACUUUGUGAUGUGACAAUGGCAAUUAGUUUGAGACCGGCACCAUACUGUAACGUAUUUUCUUUAGAUAAGUGGUGCGGGGACCUAGUGUGAGGUGCUCCCACAGCCCCACUGAAACUUUGAAAACGAGUUUUCGCAAAGGAGCUAGUAGAGCUUUAACUUGUGAGAGCGAUGAGGCAUGGUGCGUGAAUGCGUGCGUCGAACAAUCACCACUCAGGCCGUACUCGAUACGAACGUCGUCUAUGGGUGUAGUCUGACACGGUCGGAUCGUGCGACGAUGUAAUCACAAAUGGCCUGUUCGGUUGCGUGGUUCUUGUCCAGCCAGGCUCUCUCCGUCCCCAAAUGCAACUGCUAGCUAGCUAGCUAGUAGCAGUAAACAAACGACAAUCUAUCCACGCCAGCCCGGCCGGGCCGGUGCGCGUGCGCGAUUCUCUGUAGGCUUUCGGUGCGACGUCUCACUCAGCUCAGGAAACCUAGCUAGCGCUAGCACCGGCGGCGGCGUCCAAAACCACAGGAGCGACGAGCCGACCGAGCACGGUCAAUAGAAGAGGCCCCAAGGGGGAGCUGCACCCGUGCACCGUCCCCACUCGUACGUACACCCACGGCCGCCGCCGUCUCGCUUCGAGCAGAUCCGUCCACCGCCACCGCGCCACGGGCAUCCGACGUGGAGGCGGAAUCCUUUUCGUUUACGCGUGGUAGGCCGCCGCCGUAGGCGUCCGACCUGUAGUGUACUUGCGAGUCCAAAACUGGAUGCGCAUUGCCGCAUUGGAUGCCCGUCAUCGGCCCUGACCACCAAGAAGUCACCUGAUUUUACUCGUUGCUGCUCCUGCUCACCUGCCGAUGACUCGUUUCGACCCGUGACGGCGAAGGUCCAACCUGACAUGGACCGCGCGCUGUAGUGUAAUUCUAGAAGCCAUGCGUACGUACGAAGGUUCCAAUCAAGGGUUGAUGCGAGCGAUUUUGCUUUUUGUGAGUGCGUACGUGCACCGUGCGUUCAUAUGCUGUGACUGACAAAAGCAGCCGUCAGGUCACGCGGGUCGACGGCGUGCUUAUCUUCGUGGCCUCGUGGGUCCGACACGUCUCAAAAUUCCGUUUCUGGGACUGGAUUUUCCUGAUUCCCCGAGUGCAACAACUUCGGGGUGUAACAUGAUAUGGACUGCGUGCUGUCCGCGUGCACCCAUGAACCCCGAGCCUUUCCACGUACUACGCUCCUAACACUUGGUUUUUUUUUUUUUUGCAAUACCUAUUUUGAUGAACUAUUAUUGCUAUGAUUUGACUUUUAUGCCCUCUUCCACUGUUAAAACUGUUUAAAUUAUAUUAUAUUCCUCGAUUUUACAAGUGGGCUUCAAUAAUGUUUCAUCUUUUUUUUAGUUCUGAAAAUAUAAUAAAUACUGUACCUGACAUGGUUUAACAUGGGAAAUAUUUUGAUCUUCUAUCUAAUAAUCUUGAUAAAAAUCCUAGAAAUAGAUUGGGACAUUGCAAACUUAAAUAAAAUAUUUAGAGCUCACUAAAGUAUAUUUAAAAUAUUCUAAAAAUAGUAGCUCUAGAAAAAUGAAUAAAAAAAUGAAAAUCCUAAAACAUUUAUAAUUAAUGUGUAAACACAUUUUGAAACCCUUUCAUGACAAAACACAAGAUGCAACCACCAUAAAUGUACUUAACAUUAAUUUCUGUUGCAUUCUUGCUAGUUGUAUCUCAUAUUUUUGUUG
This 2117-nucleotide long non-coding RNA is filed under the name Sorghum bicolor (sorghum). Its description in RNAcentral is "long non-coding RNA (SBIC_LNC000104)". The record is from RNAcentral. Lineage: Eukaryota; Viridiplantae; Streptophyta; Magnoliopsida; Poales; Poaceae.